UGCCUGACAGAAGCUUUGGUGGAUCA
RNAcentral lists this non-coding RNA (26 nucleotides) under Homo sapiens (human). Lineage: Eukaryota; Metazoa; Chordata; Mammalia; Primates; Hominidae. The record is from RNAcentral.